Molecule: ribosomal RNA, 484 nt
Filed under: uncultured bacterium
Lineage: Bacteria
Description: bacterial SSU rRNA
Rfam family: Bacterial small subunit ribosomal RNA
Source: RNAcentral
UUUCGCAAUGCCCGAAAGGGUGACGAAGCGACGCCGCGUGCGGGAAGAAGGCCUUCGGGUUGUAAACCGCUGUCGGGAGUUAAGAAAUGUAAGGAUGUUAAUAGCAUCUUUGCUUGACUAAGGCUCCGGAGGAAGCCACGGCUAACUCUGUGCCAGCAGCCGCGGUAAUACAGAGGCGGCAAGCGUUGUUCGGAAUUAUUGGGCGUAAAGAGCACGUAGGCGGCUAUGUAAGUCGGUUGUGAAAGCCUUCCGCUCAACGGGAGAACAGCAUCCGAUACUGCAUGGCUUGAGUGCGGGAGGGGAGAGUGGAACUUCUGGUGGAGCGGUGAAAUGCGCAGAUAUCAGAAGGAACGCCGGCGGCGAAAGCGGCUCUCUGGCCCAUAACUGACGCUGAGUGUGCGAAAGCUAGGGGAGCAAACGGGAUUAGAUACCCCGGUAGUCCUAGCCGUAAACGAUGGGCACUAAGUAGAGGGGUUUUAAUCUC